This 490-nucleotide ribosomal RNA is filed under the name uncultured bacterium. RNAcentral describes it as "partial 16S ribosomal RNA". It matches the Rfam family "Bacterial small subunit ribosomal RNA", at positions 29 to 505 of the family's 1533-position model. The record is from RNAcentral.
AGUGAACGCUGGCGGUAGGCCUAACACAUGCAAGUCGAACGGCAGCACAGUAAGAGCUUGCUCUUACGGGUGGCGAGUGGCGGACGGGUGAGGAAUACAUCGGAAUCUACUUUUUCAUGGGGGAUAACGUAGGGAAACUUACGCUAAUACCGCAUACGACCUACGGGUGAAAGCAGGGGAUCUUCGGACCUUGCGCGAUUGAAUGAGCCGAUGUCGGAUUAGCUAGUUGGCGGGGUAAAGGCCCACCAAGGCGACGAUCCGUAGCUGGUCUGAGAGGAUGAUCAGCCACACUGGAACUGAGACACGGUCCAGACUCCUACGGGAGGCAGCAGUGGGGAAUAUUGGACAAUGGGCGCAAGCCUGAUCCAGCCAUACCGCGUGGGUGAAGAAGGCCUUCGGGUUGUAAAGCCCUUUUGUUGGGAAAGAAAAGCAGCAGGUUAAUACCCCGCUGUUCUGACGGUACCCAAAGAAUAAGCACCGGCUAACUUCG